Molecule: small RNA, 178 nt
Filed under: Lacticaseibacillus zeae
Lineage: Bacteria; Bacillati; Bacillota; Bacilli; Lactobacillales; Lactobacillaceae
Description: Listeria sRNA rli28
Source: RNAcentral
AGUAUGGUAUAAAAAUAUAGCAGAGAAGUUUAAUGACGGUUGGCAAAUCCAAUUACAAGGGAAGUGGUCGCCUAUGGGGGAUACACAAGCUCUGAGUGAAAGGAGAGGCCUGUUUGUCUGAUGUAGAUGCGAUCAGCCUCAUGCUAACGUUUGGCAGCUUUGUGCUGCUGCUCAUUGG